Molecule: transfer RNA, 71 nt
Filed under: Neoconidiobolus thromboides
Lineage: Eukaryota; Fungi; Entomophthoromycota; Entomophthoromycetes; Entomophthorales; Neoconidiobolaceae
Description: Conidiobolus thromboides tRNA-Trp
Rfam family: tRNA
About the family: Transfer RNA (tRNA) molecules are approximately 80 nucleotides in length. Their secondary structure includes four short double-helical elements and three loops (D, anti-codon, and T loops).
Source: RNAcentral
AGGAAAAUAAUUUAAUGGUAAAAUAGUGAUCUCCAAAAUCAUCAAUAAAGGUUCAAGUCCUUUUUUUCCUG